AUUGAACGCUGGCGGAAUGCUUCACACAUGCAAGUCGAACGGCAGCACGGACUUCGGUCUGGUGGCGAGUGGCGAACUGGUGAGUAAUACAUCGGAACGUGCCCAGUCGUGGGGGAUAACGUAGCGAAAGCUACGCUAAUACCGCAUACGAUCUAAGGAUGAAAGCGGGGGAUCGCAAGACCUCGCGCGAUUGGAGCGGCCGAUGGCAGAUUAGGUAGUUGGUAGGGUAAAGGCCUACCAAGCCGACGAUCUGUAGCUGGUCUGAGAGGAUGAUCAGCCACACUGGGACUGAGACGCGGCCCAGACUCCUACGGGAGUCAGCAGUGGGGAAUUUUGGACAAUGGGCGAAAGCCUGAUCCAGCCAUGCCGCGUGCAGGAUGAAGGCCUUCGGGUUGUAAACCGCUUUUGUCAGGGAAGAAAUCUUCUGGGCUAAUACCCUGGGAGGAUGACGGUACCUGAAGAAUAAGCACCGGCUAACUACGUGCCAGCAGCCGCCGUAA
Molecule: ribosomal RNA, 500 nt
Filed under: uncultured bacterium
Lineage: Bacteria
Description: partial 16S ribosomal RNA
Rfam family: Bacterial small subunit ribosomal RNA
Source: RNAcentral